CGAAUACUUAGUCAAGAUCAUUGCUAUAGUAUUUGUGAUGUUUUAUUAUUAUAAUGCAACAGAUUAUCAAAAGUGAUGAUGAAAUGACGCAGCUCUACAAUGAAUAUAUUUCGAAUUUUUCAAUUUCAUCUGAAAUUGUAUAAAUUCCGAAAAGUCUGAUAGUUAUUUAGCAUACAAAGAAUUUUCUUUCUAUGCUAAAUGUUUGAGCAUGUCGUCCGCUGAACUUAC
RNAcentral lists this small nucleolar RNA (228 nucleotides) under Plasmodium gallinaceum. Its description in RNAcentral is "ACEA small nucleolar RNA U3". It matches the Rfam family "ACEA small nucleolar RNA U3". From Rfam's summary of the family: Small nucleolar RNAs (snoRNAs) are involved in the processing and modification of rRNA in the nucleolus. There are two main classes of snoRNAs: the box C/D class, and the box H/ACA class. The record is from RNAcentral. Lineage: Eukaryota; Apicomplexa; Aconoidasida; Haemosporida; Plasmodiidae.